UACGUAGGGAGCAAGCGUUGUCCGGAAUCAUUGGGCGUAAAGCGCGCGUAGGCGGCCAACUAAGUCGGAUGUGAAAUCCCCAGGCUUAACCUGGGAACUGCAUCCGAUACUGGAUGGCUUGAAUCCGGGAGAGGGAUGCAGAAUUCCAGGUGUAGCGGUGAAAUGCGUAGAUAUCUGGAGGAAUACCGGUGGCGAAGGCGGCAUCCUGGACCGGCAUUGACGCUGAUGAGCGAAAGCUAGGGGAGCAAACGGG
This 253-nucleotide ribosomal RNA is filed under the name uncultured bacterium. RNAcentral's name for it is "partial 16S ribosomal RNA". It matches the Rfam family "Bacterial small subunit ribosomal RNA", at positions 524 to 776 of the family's 1533-position model. The record is from RNAcentral.